This 253-nucleotide ribosomal RNA is filed under the name uncultured bacterium. RNAcentral's name for it is "partial 16S ribosomal RNA". It matches the Rfam family "Bacterial small subunit ribosomal RNA", at positions 524 to 776 of the family's 1533-position model. The record is from RNAcentral.
UACGUAGGGUGCGAGCGUUGUCCGGAAUUACUGGGCGUAAAGAGCUCGUAGGCGGUUUGUCGCGUCGUCCGUGAAAACUUGGGGCUCAACCCCAAGCUUGCGGGCGAUACGGGCAGACUUGAGUACUGCAGGGGAGACUGGAAUUCCUGGUGUAGCGGUGAAAUGCGCAGAUAUCAGGAGGAGUACCGAUGGCGAAGGCAGGUCUCUGGGCUAUAACUGACGCUCAUGCACGAAAGCGUGGGGAGCAAACAGG